RNAcentral lists this ribosomal RNA (492 nucleotides) under uncultured bacterium. RNAcentral describes it as "partial 16S ribosomal RNA". It matches the Rfam family "Bacterial small subunit ribosomal RNA", at positions 29 to 507 of the family's 1533-position model. The record is from RNAcentral.
AGUGAACGCUGGCGGUAGGCCUAACACAUGCAAGUCGAACGGCAGCACAGUAAGAGCUUGCUCUUACGGGUGGCGAGUGGCGGACGGGUGAGGAAUACAUCGGAAUCUACUUUUUCGUAGGGGAUAACGUAGGGAAACUUACGCUAAUACCGCAUACGACCUACGGGUGAAGGCAGGGGAUCUUCGGACCUUGCGCGAUUGAAUGAGCCGAUGUCGGAUUAGCUAGUUGGCGGGGUAAAGGCCCACCAAGGCGACGAUCCGUAGCUGGUCUGAGAGGAUGAUCAGCCACACUGGAACUGAGACACGGUCCAGACUCCUACGGGAGGCAGCAGUGGGGAAUAUUGGACAAUGGGCGCAAGCCUGAUCCAGCCAUACCGCGUGGGUGAAGAAGGCCUUCGGGUUGUAAAGCCCUUUUGUUGGGAAAGAAAAGCAGCAGGUUAAUACCCCGCUGUUCUGACGGUACCCAAAGAAUAAGCACCGGCUAACUUCGUG